GUGUAUUUAUUAGAUAAAAAACCCAAUGCCCUUUCGGGGCUCCUUUGGUGAUUCAUAAUAACUUCUCAGAUCGCAUGGCCUUGCGCCGGCGACGGUUCAUUCAAAUUUCUGCCCUAUCAACUUUCGAUGGUAAGGUAUUGGCUUACCAUGGUUUCAACGGGUAACGGGGAAUUAGGGUUCGAUUCCGGAGAGGGAGCCUGAGAAACGGCUACCACAUCCAAGGAAGGCAGCAGGCGCGCAAAUUACCCAAUCCCGACACGGGGAGGUAGUGACAAUAAAUACUGAUACAGGGCUCUUUAGGGUCUUGUAAUUGGAAUGAGUACAAUUUAAACCUCUUAACGAGGAACAAUUGGAGGGCAAGUCUGGUGCCAGCAGCCGCGGUAAUUCCAGCUCCAAUAGCGUAUAUUAAAGUUGUUGCAGUUAAAAAGCUCGUAGUUGAACCUUUGGCCUGGCUGGCGGGUCCGCCUCACCGCGUGCACUCGUCCGGCCGGGCCUUUUCUUCUGGAGAACCGCAUGCCCUUCACUGGGUGUGUUGGGGACCAGGACUUUUACUUUGAAAAAAUUAGAGUGUUCAAAGCAGGCCUUUGCUCGAAUACGUUAGCAUGGAAUAAUAGAAUAGGACGUGCGGUCCUAUUUUGUUGGUUUCUAGGACCGCCGUAAUGAUUAAUAGGGACAGUCGGGGGCAUCAGUAUUCAAUUGUCAGAGGUGAAAUUCUUGGAUUUAUUGAAGACUAACUACUGCGAAAGCAUUUGCCAAGGAUGUUUUCAUUAAUCAGUGAACGAAAGUUAGGGGAUCGAAGACGAUCAGAUACCGUCGUAGUCUUAACCAUAAACUAUGCCGACUAGGGAUCGGGCGGUGUUACUAUUUUGACCCGCUCGGCACCUUACGAGAAAUCAAAGUGUUUGGGUUCUGGGGGGAGUAUGGUCGCAAGGCUGAAACUUAAAGAAAUG
Molecule: ribosomal RNA, 950 nt
Filed under: Periconia pseudobyssoides
Lineage: Eukaryota; Fungi; Ascomycota; Dothideomycetes; Pleosporales; Periconiaceae
Description: SSU rRNA
Rfam family: Eukaryotic small subunit ribosomal RNA
Source: RNAcentral